Molecule: long non-coding RNA, 266 nt
Filed under: Elaeis guineensis (African oil palm)
Lineage: Eukaryota; Viridiplantae; Streptophyta; Magnoliopsida; Arecales; Arecaceae
Description: long non-coding RNA (EGUI_LNC057858)
Source: RNAcentral
UACCUCCCAAAAAUAAUAUUAUUUCUCCAAGCCCCUGGCCGCCUCCCCCCGACUGCAUCCCCAAGCCCCACUACACCUACCCGAGCCUGAUCUAAAAAUUUUUUUUGAGCUUCGGGUUGGGCUUAGGCCCAAUGAUUUUAGAAAAAACCAAGCUCGGGCCCGAUCCUAGCCCAAGUCUAAGCCCAGCCCAAACCUAUUUGGGCAGGCCCGAACCAUGAGGUUGCUGCAAAGUAAGAAGGCUGCAAACUAAGAGUAGAAAUUUUUUU